RNAcentral lists this ribosomal RNA (787 nucleotides) under Lactarius pubescens. RNAcentral describes it as "eukaryotic LSU rRNA". The stretch from base 325 to 478 matches the Rfam family "5.8S ribosomal RNA". The record is from RNAcentral. Lineage: Eukaryota; Fungi; Basidiomycota; Agaricomycetes; Russulales; Russulaceae.
AAAGUCAGCGACAGCCCUUGCACGCCUCUAACACAUUUGUUGUUACGAUAAUGAUCCUUUCCGUAGGGUGACCUGCGGAAGGAUCAUUAUCGUAACAAAAAAUGUGUCAGAGGCGUGCAAGGGCUGUCGCUGACUUUUAACGCAAAAGUCGUGCACGCUGGAGUGCGUCCUCUACACAUAAAAUCCAUCUCACCCUUUUGUGCACCACCGCGUGGGCACCCUUCGGGAUCAAACCGAUCCAGGAAGGGGGCUUGCGUUUUCACACAAACCCCUUUUUAAAAGUGUAGAAUGACCCCAUUUUUUGCGAUAACACGCAAUCAAUACAACUUUCAACAACGGAUCUCUUGGCUCUCGCAUCGAUGAAGAACGCAGCGAAAUGCGAUACGUAAUGUGAAUUGCAGAAUUCAGUGAAUCAUCGAAUCUUUGAACGCACCUUGCGCCCCUUGGUAUUCCGAGGGGCACACCCGUUUGAGUGUCGUGAAAAUCUCAACCUUCUCGGUUUCUUCUGGAAACCAAAGGAGGCUUGGACUUUGGAGGCCUUUGCUGGUGUCUCUCUCUUUUGAGAGCCCAGCUCCUCUUAAAUGAAUUAGCGGGGUCCUCUUUGCUGGUCCUCGACAUGUGAUAAGAUGCUUCCAUGUCUUGGUUUCUGGCUCUGUUGCUUUUGGGACCCGCUUCUAACCGUCUCGACGAGACAACGUUUGAGCACGUCUCCCGACGCUCUCAACCUCACGAACCCUUGACCUCAAAUCGGGUGAGACUACCCGCUGAACUUAAGCAUAUCAUAGCG